This 253-nucleotide ribosomal RNA is filed under the name uncultured bacterium. Its description in RNAcentral is "partial 16S ribosomal RNA". It matches the Rfam family "Bacterial small subunit ribosomal RNA", at positions 524 to 776 of the family's 1533-position model. The record is from RNAcentral.
UACAGAGGGUGCGAGCGUUAAUCGGAAUUACUGGGCGUAAAGCGCACGUAGGUGGAUAUUUAAGUCGGAAGUGAAAGCCCUGGGCUUAACCUGGGAAUUGCCUCCGAUACUGGAUAUCUAGAGUAUGGUAGAGGAUAGUGGAAUUUCCGGUGUAGCGGUGAAAUGCGUAGAUAUCGGAAGGAACACCAGUGGCGAAGGCGGCGAUCUGGACCAAUACUGACACGUAGGUGCGAAAGCGUGGGGAGCAAACAGG